GUCUCAACUAGCUUCUUAAUGUGGAUCCCAACAGCCAGCCUCAGCAAUAUAUAUAGUAGUCGAACUCUUAAGGCGAAAUUGAGAUUUGUUGGUAUGCGGUAAAUGAUUUUGAAAGUGAACAGCAUCUUUACUUUGAACAAAUUUGAGUGCUCAAGGCAGGCCUUUGUACCUAGAAAUUCUUGCAUGGAAUAGGACUUCGGUUCUAUUUUGUUGGUUUUUGACAGGGGGGGGCAUUUCUAUGGCGGUGUUAGAGGUGAAAUUCUCGGAUCAUCGCCAAACAAACUACAGCAAAAACAUUUGCCAAGAAUGUUUUCAUUGAUCA
RNAcentral lists this non-coding RNA (322 nucleotides) under Trichobilharzia regenti. RNAcentral describes it as "Eukaryotic small subunit ribosomal RNA". It matches the Rfam family "Eukaryotic small subunit ribosomal RNA", at positions 633 to 979 of the family's 1831-position model. The record is from Rfam by way of RNAcentral. Lineage: Eukaryota; Metazoa; Platyhelminthes; Trematoda; Strigeidida; Schistosomatidae.